This 76-nucleotide transfer RNA is filed under the name Planctomycetota bacterium. RNAcentral's name for it is "Planctomycetes bacterium (soil metagenome) tRNA-Glu". It matches the Rfam family "tRNA". Rfam says of the family: Transfer RNA (tRNA) molecules are approximately 80 nucleotides in length. Their secondary structure includes four short double-helical elements and three loops (D, anti-codon, and T loops). Further hydrogen bonds mediate the characteristic L-shaped molecular structure. tRNAs have two regions of fundamental functional importance: the anti-codon, which is responsible for specific mRNA codon recognition, and the 3' end, to which the tRNAs corresponding amino acid is attached (by aminoacyl-tRNA synthetases). tRNAs cope with the degeneracy of the genetic code in two manners: having more than one tRNA (with a specific anti-codon) for a particular amino acid; and 'wobble' base-pairing, i.e. permitting non-standard base-pairing at the 3rd anti-codon position. The record is from RNAcentral. Lineage: Bacteria; Pseudomonadati; Planctomycetota. RNAcentral also lists the same sequence under 1 other name.
GCUCCCAUCGUCUAGUGGCCUAGGACAACGGAUUCUCAGUCCGUGAACAGGGGUUCGACUCCCCUUGGGAGUACCA